GGGUUGUGAGGUUAAGCGACUAAGCGUACACGGUGGAUGCCCUGGCAGUCAGAGGCGAUGAAGGGCGUGCUAAUCUGCGAUAAGCGCCGGUAAGGUGAUAUGAACCGUUAUAACCGGCGAUACCCGAAUGGGGAAACCCAGUGUGACUCGUCACACUAUCAUUAACUGAAUCCAUAGGUUAAUGAGGCGAACCGGGGGAACUGAAACAUCUAAGUACCCCGAGGAAAAGAAAUCAACCGAGAUUCCCCCAGUAGCGGCGAGCGAACGGGGAGGAGCCCAGAGCCUGAAUCAGCAUGUGUGUUAGUGGAAGCGUCUGGAAAGGCGCGCGAUACAGGGUGACAGCCCCGUACACAAAAGCGCAUGUGCUGUGAGCUCGAUGAGUAGGGCGGGACACGUGGUAUCCUGUCUGAAUAUGGGGGGACCAUCCUCCAAGGCUAAAUACUCCUGACUGACCGAUAGUGAACCAGUACCGUGAGGGAAAGGCGAAAAGAACCCCGGCGAGGGGAGUGAAAAAGAACCUGAAACCGUGUACGUACAAGCAGUGGGAGCNNGUGACUGCGUACCUUUUGUAUAAUGGGUCAGCGACUUAUAUUCUGUAGCAAGGUUAACCGAAUAGGGGAGCCGGAGGGAAACCGAGUCUUAAUUGGGCGUUAAGUUGCAGGGUAUAGACCCGAAACCCGGUGAUCUAGCCAUGGGCAGGUUGAAGGUUGGGUAACACUAACUGGAGGACCGAACCGACUAAUGUUGAAAAAUUAGCGGAUGACCUGUGGCUGGGGGUGAAAGGCCAAUCAAACCGGGAGAUAGCUGGUUCUCCCCGAAAGCUAUUUAGGUAGCGCCUCGUGAAUUCAUCUCCGGGGGUAGAGCACUGUUUCGGCUAGGGGGCCAUCCCGGCUUACCAACCCGAUGCAAACUGCGAAUACCGGAGAAUGUUAUCACGGGAGACACACGGCGGGUGCUAACGUCCGUCGUGAAGAGGGAAACAACCCAGACCGCCAGCUAAGGUCCCAAAGUCAUGGUUAAGUGGGAAACGAUGUGGGAAGGCCCAGACAGCCAGGAUGUUGGCUUAGAAGCAGCCAUCAUUUAAAGAAAGCGUAAUAGCUCACUGGUCGAGUCGGCCUGCGCGGAAGAUGUAACGGGGCUAAACCAUGCACCGAAGCUGCGGCAGCGANNGUUGGGUAGGGGAGCGUUCUGUAAGCCUGUGAAGGUGGCCUGUGAGGGUUGCUGGAGGUAUCAGAAGUGCGAAUGCUGACAUAAGUAACGAUAAAGCGGGUGAAAAGCCCGCUCGCCGGAAGACCAAGGGUUCCUGUCCAACGUUAAUCGGGGCAGGGUGAGUCGACCCCUAAGGCGAGGCCGAAAGGCGUAGUCGAUGGGAAACGGGUUAAUAUUCCCGUACUUGGUGUUACUGCGAAGGGGGGACGGAGAAGGCUAUGUUGGCCGGGCGACGGUUGUCCCGGUUUAAGCGUGUAGGUGUGUGUUCCAGGUAAAUCCGGUUCACUUUAACACUGAGGCGUGAUGACGAGGCACUACGGUGCUGAAGUAACAAAUGCCCUGCUUCCAGGAAAAGCCUCUAAGCAUCAGGUAACAUCAAAUCGUACCCCAAACCGACACAGGUGGUCAGGUAGAGAAUACCAAGGCGCUUGAGAGAACUCGGGUGAAGGAACUAGGCAAAAUGGUGCCGUAACUUCGGGAGAAGGCACGCUGACACGUAGGUGAAGUGAUUUACUCAUGGAGCUGAAGUCAGUCGAAGAUACCAGCUGGCUGCAACUGUUUAUUAAAAACACAGCACUGUGCAAACACGAAAGUGGACGUAUACGGUGUGACGCCUGCCCGGUGCCGGAAGGUUAAUUGAUGGGGUCAGCGCAAGCGAAGCUCCUGAUCGAAGCCCCGGUAAACGGCGGCCGUAACUAUAACGGUCCUAAGGUAGCGAAAUUCCUUGUCGGGUAAGUUCCGACCUGCACGAAUGGCGUAAUGAUGGCCAGGCUGUCUCCACCCGAGACUCAGUGAAAUUGAACUCGCUGUGAAGAUGCAGUGUACCCGCGGCAAGACGGAAAGACCCCGUGAACCUUUACUAUAGCUUGACACUGAACAUUGAGCCUUGAUGUGUAGGAUAGGUGGGAGGCUUUGAAGCGUGGACGCCAGUCUGCGUGGAGCCGACCUUGAAAUACCACCCUUUAAUGUUUGAUGUUCUAACGUGGACCCGUGAUCCGGGUUGCGGACAGUGUCUGGUGGGUAGUUUGACUGGGGCGGUCUCCUCCUAAAGAGUAACGGAGGAGCACGAAGGUUGGCUAAUCCUGGUCGGACAUCAGGAGGUUAGUGCAAUGGCAUAAGCCAGCUUGACUGCGAGCGUGACGGCGCGAGCAGGUGCGAAAGCAGGUCAUAGUGAUCCGGUGGUUCUGAAUGGAAGGGCCAUCGCUCAACGGAUAAAAGGUACUCCGGGGAUAACAGGCUGAUACCGCCCAAGAGUUCAUAUCGACGGCGGUGUUUGGCACCUCGAUGUCGGCUCAUCACAUCCUGGGGCUGAAGUAGGUCCCAAGGGUAUGGCUGUUCGCCAUUUAAAGUGGUACGCGAGCUGGGUUUAGAACGUCGUGAGACAGUUCGGUCCCUAUCUGCCGUGGGCGCUGGAGAACUGAGGGGGGCUGCUCCUAGUACGAGAGGACCGGAGUGGACGCAUCACUGGUGUUCGGGUUGUCAUGCCAAUGGCACUGCCCGGUAGCUAAAUGCGGAAGAGAUAAGUGCUGAAAGCAUCUAAGCACGAAACUUGCCCCGAGAUGAGUUCUCCCUGAGACUUAGAGUCUCCUGAAGGAACGUUGAAGACGACGACGUUGAUAGGCCGGGUGUGUAAGCGCAGCGAUGCGUUGAGCUAACCGGUACUAAUGAACCGUGAGGCUUAACC
Molecule: ribosomal RNA, 2893 nt
Filed under: Salmonella enterica subsp. enterica serovar Dublin
Lineage: Bacteria; Pseudomonadati; Pseudomonadota; Gammaproteobacteria; Enterobacterales; Enterobacteriaceae
Description: bacterial LSU rRNA
Rfam family: Bacterial large subunit ribosomal RNA
Source: RNAcentral